Molecule: ribosomal RNA, 622 nt
Filed under: Limosilactobacillus fermentum
Lineage: Bacteria; Bacillati; Bacillota; Bacilli; Lactobacillales; Lactobacillaceae
Description: bacterial SSU rRNA
Rfam family: Bacterial small subunit ribosomal RNA
Source: RNAcentral
ACUGGCGGACGGGUGAGUAACACGUAGGUAACCUGCCCAGAAGCGGGGGACAACAUUUGGAAACAGAUGCUAAUACCGCAUAACAACGUUGUUCGCAUGAACAACGCUUAAAAGAUGGCUUCUCGCUAUCACUUCUGGAUGGACCUGCGGUGCAUUAGCUUGUUGGUGGGGUAACGGCCUACCAAGGCGAUGAUGCAUAGCCGAGUUGAGAGACUGAUCGGCCACAAUGGGACUGAGACACGGCCCAUACUCCUACGGGAGGCAGCAGUAGGGAAUCUUCCACAAUGGGCGCAAGCCUGAUGGAGCAACACCGCGUGAGUGAAGAAGGGUUUCGGCUCGUAAAGCUCUGUUGUUAAAGAAGAACACGUAUGAGAGUAACUGUUCAUACGUUGACGGUAUUUAACCAGAAAGUCACGGCUAACUACGUGCCAGCAGCCGCGGUAAUACGUAGGUGGCAAGCGUUAUCCGGAUUUAUUGGGCGUAAAGAGAGUGCAGGCGGUUUUCUAAGUCUGAUGUGAAAGCCUUCGGCUUAACCGGAGAAGUGCAUCGGAAACUGGAUAACUUGAGUGCAGAAGAGGGUAGUGGAACUCCAUGUGUAGCGGUGGAAUGCGUAGAUAUAUGG